AACGAACGCUGGCGGCAGGCUUAACACAUGCAAGUCGAGGGGUAACGAGAGGAAAGCUUGCUUUCCUUGUCGACGACCGGCGCACGGGUGAGUAACGCGUAUCCAACCUGCCCCCAACUAGGGAAUAACCUUGCGAAAGUAAGACUAAUACCCUAUAAUUUCCUCAGAUGCCAUCUGACGAGGAAUAAAGAUUUAUCGGUUGUGGAUGGGGAUGCGUCUGAUUAGCUUGUUGGCGGGGUAACGGCCCACCAAGGCAACGAUCAGUAGGGGUUCUGAGAGGAAGGUCCCCCACAUUGGAACUGAGACACGGUCCAAACUCCUACGGGAGGCAGCAGUGAGGAAUAUUGGUCAAUGGGCGGAAGCCUGAACCAGCCAAGUAGCGUGCAGGAUGACGGCCCUAUGGGUUGUAAACUGCUUUUAUACAGGAAUAAAGUUAGCCACGUGUGGUUAUUUGUAGGUACUGUAUGAAUAAGGACCGGCUAAUUCCGUGCCAGCCGCCGCCGUAA
This 506-nucleotide ribosomal RNA is filed under the name uncultured bacterium. Its description in RNAcentral is "partial 16S ribosomal RNA". It matches the Rfam family "Bacterial small subunit ribosomal RNA", at positions 29 to 523 of the family's 1533-position model. The record is from RNAcentral.